GGGGGGGGGAAGAAGAAUGCAAAGAAAAUAUGCAACUAAAGCUACACAACAAAACACACUCACAACAUAAGACAAGACAACACACUCACAACACAAGACAAGACAACACACACUAACACAACAAAAGACCUAAAACCGAACCAUUGGUCCUCGGCAAUGGUGCCAAAAUUUUGAUGGGUGUCGCAACCCACACAAAAUUAAUGUGCAAUUAGGAAUGCAUUAUAGACUAGGAAGUGACUCCUAGGUCGUCUCCCAAGAACCAAUUGCGGUUUAAAAUUAGGUCAAACACGUAGUGGGGGGGGGUUUGUGAAAGGAUUGUGAAUGUGGAUAAACUAAAUUAAAACAUACAUGCAACUAAAAUGUAAUAGAAAUGUGAAAACAGAUUCAAAUACAGAAUAAAAACGGUUUCAAAGACAAAAUGGAAACGGUUGGUCAUUAACUUAAUUAAAAUGCUUUCCUAUCACAGAUCAACAAAAUAAAGCAGCAACUCAAACCUCUAAUCCAACACAGUUAACCAACUAAGCGAAGNCUAAUCAUGUUUUCAUAAAAGCGAACUAAGCGAACGCAAUGUUAACAACAAAUCCACUUUACACCAUGCAGUUUCAUCAACUAAGCGUAUACCCAAUUGCAAGUGCAAAUACAGAUGUCACAUUAACCAAGUCAGAGUGACAAACACAAUUACAAUCCAGAAAUCUCAAGGAAACACAAUAAUUUUAUUAAUGACCAACCCGACUACCUUAAGCUAACAUCACAAUUAAAUUAACACAAUCAGACAUACUAGACAUCAUUGAAGUAAAAGGAAAUGCUAAACCUAACACUGCAAUAGACAAAUAUCCAAACAUAAUUAAAGCUAUUAAAAUGCAACACUAAAUUAAG
RNAcentral lists this long non-coding RNA (876 nucleotides) under Vigna radiata. Its description in RNAcentral is "long non-coding RNA (VRAD_LNC016363)". The record is from RNAcentral. Lineage: Eukaryota; Viridiplantae; Streptophyta; Magnoliopsida; Fabales; Fabaceae.